UACGAAGGGGGCUAGCGUUGCUCGGAAUCACUGGGCGUAAAGGGUGCGUAGGCGGGUCUUUAAGUCUGAGGGGAAAUCCUGGAGCUCAACUCCAGAACUGCCUUUGAUACUGAGGAUCUUGAGUACGGGAGAGGUGAGUGGAACUGCGAGUGUAGAGGUGAAAUUCGUAGAUAUUCGCAAGAACACCAGUGGCGAAGGCGGCUCACUGGCCCGUUACUGACGCUGAGGCACGAAAGCGUGGGGAGCAAACAGG
Molecule: ribosomal RNA, 253 nt
Filed under: uncultured bacterium
Lineage: Bacteria
Description: partial 16S ribosomal RNA
Rfam family: Bacterial small subunit ribosomal RNA
Source: RNAcentral